This is a non-coding RNA of Vicia faba (fava bean), 255 nucleotides long. Lineage: Eukaryota; Viridiplantae; Streptophyta; Magnoliopsida; Fabales; Fabaceae. The record is from the annotation of a GenBank genome assembly.
AUGGUGAAAGAACGUGAGUUGUCGUAUCCGAUGAUGGUGUGGCUCGGACGAAGGAGGAUGAUGGUGUUGUUGUUGGAUCAGGAUUGGACGACACUAAAAGUUCCACAGUGGUGGGCUGUGAUGUGUAAUUAUUUGUCAGCACGGAGGAACGCCGAUGUGUCCGACAAAUCGAGAUUGCAACCUUUGCAUUUGUUGGGGUGGCUGUCGGAGUCACAUGUGUGGUGUGGUGAGUGUUUAGCCCAUAGCAUGCUAUGA